RNAcentral lists this ribosomal RNA (254 nucleotides) under uncultured bacterium. RNAcentral describes it as "partial 16S ribosomal RNA". It matches the Rfam family "Bacterial small subunit ribosomal RNA", at positions 524 to 776 of the family's 1533-position model. The record is from RNAcentral.
CACGUAGGGGGCAAGCGUUGUCCGGAUUUAUUGGGCGUAAAGAGCUCGUAGGCUGUUCGAUAAGUCGGGUGUGAAACCUCCAGGCUCAACCUGGAGACGCCACCCGAUACUGUCAUGACUAGAGUCCGGUAGGGGAGCGUGGAAUUCCUGGUGUAGCGGUGAAAUGCGCAGAUAUCAGGAGGAACACCAGCGGCGAAGGCGGCGCUCUGGGCCGGUACUGACGCUGAGGAGCGAAAGCAUGGGGAGCGAACAGG